UGAGCGAAUCUCCUCCUCAAUAUCUACCAUCAAAACAAAGAAAUGUUUGAACAAGUUAAAGCACAAGCAAGUGUCAAAAAUUCACAGGCAAGCUAAACACCAAGAACAUCAAUAAAUAUUAAUUUAGCAUCACAUUCAUUAUCUAAUACAGCAAAAAACUCUCUAUGCAAAUGCGCCCAAUAAUUUAGCUUACUUCAUCGAAGCUCAAUGAAAAUUCAUCAAUCCAAACCAAUAAAUUACAAAAAAUGAAUUGAUAAAUUAAAAAUAUAAUCUAAGGAAAUUGAUAAAUAAAGUAGAUAGUUCAGAUUGUUAGUAUCAAUAAAUCAACCGUAAAAUAGUAGAUCCAUAACCAAAAAUGAAAAUCCAAGUGAUUUCAGAGAUUCAAAGCAGAUAAAUAGCAAAAUUGAAAUAGAAAGAUUAG
Molecule: unclassified non-coding RNA, 421 nt
Filed under: Hevea brasiliensis (rubber tree)
Lineage: Eukaryota; Viridiplantae; Streptophyta; Magnoliopsida; Malpighiales; Euphorbiaceae
Source: RNAcentral